Long non-coding RNA from Dama dama (fallow deer), 517 nucleotides. RefSeq lists it as uncharacterized. NCBI's taxonomy places the organism in Eukaryota, Metazoa, Chordata, Mammalia, Artiodactyla, Cervidae. The transcript is spliced from 3 exons. The record is from RefSeq and is a predicted model, not a curated record.
GACACGUCACAAAGCUUGUCCCAGUCACCCAGCACAGAGGUGACAGAAUGAGAACUAGAAUUCCAGUUUCGGCAUACCAGACUUUCUACCAAAGUCAUUGAGCAAAAGAGCCAGUUACAACCCUACAGGAGUUGCUCCAGCCAACUCAGCCCCCAAGAGAGAAAGGAGCACCGAGCAGAAGUGGACAGAAUUUCUAGGCCUGGACAUGAUACCCCAGUUCUUCACCUCCCUUCCCCGCCAUUUCCCCAUGUGCACUAUACUCUGUUCCCCUGGGACUUGGCCAACGGUGUUUGCGCCUCUCGCUGAGAAGGAAAGCAAAGGAACAAUAUCCAUGGUCUCCCAUGUCUAGUCAAUGGAACUGGAAGUUAAGAACUGUUGAUUUGCAUGGAGCCAGCUGGCAACAGAGAACCAUCAAGAGCGUCCAGUUCCAGGACAAUAGACAGCACACUCAAGGAUGGAUUUGGAGCCCAGCAGCUAUACAUUGGUAACUGGCACAGUGACAAACUGUUAAUGGUUG